RNAcentral lists this ribosomal RNA (500 nucleotides) under uncultured bacterium. RNAcentral describes it as "partial 16S ribosomal RNA". It matches the Rfam family "Bacterial small subunit ribosomal RNA", at positions 30 to 523 of the family's 1533-position model. The record is from RNAcentral.
AUUGAACGCUAGCGGGAUGCCUUACACAUGCAAGUCGAACGGCAGCGCGGACUUCGGUCUGGCGGCGAGUGGCGAACGGGUGAGUAAUGUAUCGGAACGUGCCCAGUAGCGGGGGAUAACUACUCGAAGGAGUAGCUAAUACCGCAUACGCCCUACGGGGGAAAGGGGGGGAUCGCAAGACCUCUCACUAUUGGAGCGGCCGAUAUCGGAUUAGCUAGUUGGUGAGGUAAAGGCUCACCAAGGCGACGAUCCGUAGCUGGUUUGAGAGGACGACCAGCCACACUGGGACUGAGACACGGCCCAGACUCCUACGGGAGGCAGCAGUGGGGAAUUUUGGACAAUGGGGGCAACCCUGAUCCAGCCAUUCCGCGUGUGCGAUGAAGGCCUUCGGGUUGUAAAGCACUUUUGGCAGGAAAGAAAUCGCACGGAUUAAUACUCUGUGUGGAUGACGGUACCUGCAGAAUAAGCACCGGCUAACUACGUGCCAGCAGCCGCGGUAA